RNAcentral lists this long non-coding RNA (234 nucleotides) under Elaeis guineensis (African oil palm). Its description in RNAcentral is "long non-coding RNA (EGUI_LNC056368)". The record is from RNAcentral. Lineage: Eukaryota; Viridiplantae; Streptophyta; Magnoliopsida; Arecales; Arecaceae.
UCUGGAUGUUAGGUAUCAUUGCUAGAUGGUCACUUUGAUUAGUAUAGGAAGAUUACUUCUAUACUACCGGCUUAGGUUUGAAUUUAUGAGGUCACAUUCAAAAGAAGUUUCUAACUGAUCAUAUGAUUGAUCGACGGUUAAGAAUCGCUCUAAGGUAAAAUAGUUAAUUUGAUUGAUGAUUAACCCUAAAGUUGUAAUAAAUCAAUUCAUUAAUUAUUGAUAAAUUAUAAGAGA